GGUAUGGGAUGAGCUUGCGUCCGAUUAGCUAGUUGGCGGGGCAACGGCCCACCAAGGCGACGAUCGGUAGCCGGCCUGAGAGGGUGAUCGGCCACAUUGGGACUGAGAUACGGCCCAGACUCCUACGGGAGGCAGCAGUAGGGAAUAUUGCACAAUGGGGGAAACCCUGAUGCAGCAACGCCACGUGUGGGAAGAAGCAUUUCGGUGUGUAAACCACUGUCGUGAGGGAAUAAGGCGUCUUCUCGGAGGCGUUGAAUGUACCUCGAAAGGAAGCACCGGCAGACUUCGUGCCAGCAGCCGCGGUAAUACGAGGGGUGCAAGCGUUGUUCGGAAUCACUGGGCGUAAAGGGAGCGUAGGCGGAGAUGCAAGCGGACUGUACAAUACCGGGGCCCAACCCCGGGCCUGCAGUUCGGACUGCACCUCUUGGAUAGUUCAGGGGCAGGC
This 445-nucleotide ribosomal RNA is filed under the name uncultured bacterium. Its description in RNAcentral is "bacterial SSU rRNA". It matches the Rfam family "Bacterial small subunit ribosomal RNA", at positions 217 to 662 of the family's 1533-position model. The record is from RNAcentral.